AGCUUUGCAAAGUGGCAGUAUCGUAGCCAAUGAGGUUUAUCCAAGGUGUGAUUAUUGCUAACUGAAAACUUUUCCCAUUUUUUGUUUGUUUUAAAGUAAUUUCCUUGGGGAACAGGACACUUUACUUCUACCAAUGUAG
Molecule: small nuclear RNA, 139 nt
Organism: Ochotona curzoniae (black-lipped pika)
Lineage: Eukaryota; Metazoa; Chordata; Mammalia; Lagomorpha; Ochotonidae
Product: U4 spliceosomal RNA
Exons: 1
Source: RefSeq, a predicted model, not a curated record